Molecule: long non-coding RNA, 195 nt
Organism: Sinocyclocheilus anshuiensis
Lineage: Eukaryota; Metazoa; Chordata; Actinopteri; Cypriniformes; Cyprinidae
Exons: 3
Source: RefSeq, a predicted model, not a curated record
CAGGGCUAUAAGGUAGGUGUAGUCAAGCAGACCGAAACGUCAGCUAUCAAGGCCUCCGGCACCAACAAGAGUUCUCUAUUCACACGGCAACUACAUGCACUUUACACCAAAUCCACACUUGUGGGAGAAGAUGUGAAUCCUCUGCUAAAGCUGGGAGAUUUGGAGCAAGCUGAAGAUGUGGUGCAGGACAGUGGC